Non-coding RNA from Meleagris gallopavo (turkey), 1399 nucleotides. NCBI's taxonomy places the organism in Eukaryota, Metazoa, Chordata, Aves, Galliformes, Phasianidae. The record is from RefSeq and is a predicted model, not a curated record.
AAAUGGGCUCAAUUAACUCCAGGGGAGGUUUAGAUUGGAUAUCGAGAAUAAUUUCUUCACAGAAAGGCUUUUCAGGCAUUGCGACAGUCUGCACAGGGAAGGGGUGAGUUUGCCAACUCUGGCAGCAUUGGAGACCUAUGGAUGUGAUGCUUAUGCACUCAUUUUAGUGAUCGACUUGGUAGUGUUAAGUGGAAAGUUGGACUUGAUCUAAAGGGUCUUCUCCAUCCUCAUGAAGGCAAGAAAUGGAGUGUCUCUCCUGUGAGGAAGGCUGAGAGCUGGGACUCUUCCGCAGGAAGAAGGGUCAGGGGAUCUCAUCAAGGUGUACAAAUAUGAAGGGAGGAUGCAAAGCAGAUGGAGCCAGGUUCUUUUCGGUGGUGACCAGAGACAGAAGAAGCAGCAAUGGACACAACAGAACACAGCAGACAGAGAUUCAGGCUAACACCAGAAAACACUUCUUCACUGUGCAGGAGACUAAAGAACAAAACAAUUUGCCAGCAAGUGCAUUCUCACAAGCAACAAGGGGCAAGUCCUUCUCUGACAGUCCGCAGUGUUCUGGACACAACUUGUACCGACAUCACCAGGGUUCCCCACUUGUAUUGCAGGAAUACAGUUCUCAGGACCAACGUGGGUCCUGACAAGUCUGAGGCCAAGCAACAAGGCCAUUACAAGAUAGAAAAAAUCCUGCAAAGCAGCAGUCUUCUCUCUUCAGAGGCUGCUGUACUUGCUGUGUGGAAUUUGAGAGCACCCUUGUGACAUCACAGAGAAGCACCAGUACCUGUUUUACAGCAGCUGUAUUCGGUUCAGGGCUCCCUCUUGUGAGCUCAGACGUGUGGCUGUCCAGGCUCCAGCUGCUUUCUGGGCUUCCCUUGGGGUUCUGCCUCUUGACCAUAUUCUGUACAGGGUCAGAGCAGAUGGCAGCUACCAGAACCACGUGUUUUGCUCAUCCCCUCACAGCUAGAGGAAAAUUGCCAGUGAGAGGCAGAACAGAUAUUCUCACUGCCAUUGCACCCUGCAUCCAUGGCCUAGCAACAAUUUCCCUGCAGACAAGAGGGCCGUGGAGGAACAACUGAGAGCCUGUGCAGACAUGACAUCUAUGCUGUGCAGGAACACGCCAUGACUGAGAAGGAUAUGCAGUUGACAUAUCUACAACCAGGAAGUUAUAGUGGACUGACAUCCCAUAUACAGAGCAGGUGUAGUAUUUUUAACAAAUAAGACUCUCCUUUUCAUGAGAUUCAUGAUUUUGAGUCAUGGCAAGGACUGAAACACAGGGAGUUAUGGCAAUACUCGAAGAAGUCAAAGUGCUUGGAAAGAAGAGAUAAAGACUGACGUGGAGAAGUGAUGGGAAGGAUGGGAUAACAGAGAAAAGUAGGAAUUGAAAUCAAGAUGGCUAAUGAGAAGA